GACGAACGCUGGCGGCGUGCCUAAUACAUGCAAGUCGAACGAAACUUUCUUACACCGAAUGCUUGCAUUCACCGUAAGAAGUUGAGUGGCGGACGGGUGAGUAACACGUGGGUAACCUGCCUAAAAGAAGGGGAUAACACUUGGAAACAGGUGCUAAUACCGUAUAUCUCUAAGGAUCGCAUGAUCCUUAGAUGAAAGAUGGUUCUGCUAUCGCUUUUAGAUGGACCCGCGGCGUAUUAACUAGUUGGUGGGGUAACGGCCUACCAAGGUGAUGAUACGUAGCCGAACUGAGAGGUUGAUCGGGCCACAUUGGGACUGAGACACGGCCCAAACUCCUACGGGAGGCAGCAGUAGGGAAUCUUCGGCAAUGGACGAAAGUCUGACCGAGCAACGCCGCGUGAGUGAAGAAGGUUUUCGAUCGUAAAACUCUGUGUUAGAGAAGAACAAGGAUGAGAGUAAC
This 460-nucleotide ribosomal RNA is filed under the name uncultured Lactobacillus sp. RNAcentral's name for it is "bacterial SSU rRNA". It matches the Rfam family "Bacterial small subunit ribosomal RNA", at positions 28 to 465 of the family's 1533-position model. The record is from RNAcentral. Lineage: Bacteria; Bacillati; Bacillota; Bacilli; Lactobacillales; Lactobacillaceae.